RNAcentral lists this ribosomal RNA (497 nucleotides) under uncultured bacterium. RNAcentral's name for it is "partial 16S ribosomal RNA". It matches the Rfam family "Bacterial small subunit ribosomal RNA", at positions 28 to 507 of the family's 1533-position model. The record is from RNAcentral.
GAUGAACGCUGGCGGCGUGCCUAAUACAUGCAAGUCGAGCGAACGGACGAGAAGCUUGCUUCUCUGAUGUUAGCGGCGGACGGGUGAGUAACACGUGGAUAACCUACCUAUAAGACUGGGAUAACUUCGGGAAACCGGAGCUAAUACCGGAUAAUAUUUUGAACCGCAUGGUUCAAAAUUGAAAGACGGUCUUGCUGUCACUUAUAGAUGGAUCCGCGCUGCAUUAGCUAGUUGGUAAGGUAACGGCUUACCAAGGCAACGAUGCAUAGCCGACCUGAGAGGAUGAUCGGCCACACUGGAACUGAGACACGGUCCAGAAUCCUACGAGAGGCAGCAGUAGGGAAUCUUCCGAAAUGGGCGAAAGCCUGACGGAGCAAAGCCGCGUGAGUGAUGAAGGUAUUCGGAUCAUAAAACUCUGUUAUUAGGGAAGAACAUAUGUGUAAGUAACUGUGCAAAUCUUGACGGUACCUAAUCAGAAAGACACGGCUAACUACGUG